RNAcentral lists this ribosomal RNA (425 nucleotides) under uncultured Thermogymnomonas sp. RNAcentral's name for it is "bacterial SSU rRNA". It matches the Rfam family "Archaeal small subunit ribosomal RNA", at positions 322 to 747 of the family's 1478-position model. Lineage: Archaea; Methanobacteriati; Thermoplasmatota; Thermoplasmata; Thermoplasmatales. The record is from RNAcentral.
CCUAUGGGGGGCAGCAGUCGCGAAAACUUCACAAUGGAGGCAACUCCGAUGAGGGAAUUCCUAGUGCCAAUGCAUUUUGUGUUGGCUUUUCUUCAGCGUAGAUAACUGAUGGAAUAAGGGCUGGGUAAGACGGGUGCCAGCCGCCGCGGUAAUACCCGCAGCCCAAGUGGUGGUCGAUAUUAUUGAGUCUAAAACGUUCGUAGCCGGUUCAAUAAAUCUCUGGGUAAAUCGGAGGGCUUAACCUUCCGAAUUCCGGAGAGACUGUUGAACUUGGGACCGGGAGAGGCAAGAGGUACUUCUGGGGUAGGGGUAAAAUCCUGUAAUCCUAGAAGGACCACCGGUGGCGAAGGCGUCUUGCUAGAACGGAUCCGACGGUGAGGGACGAAGCCCUGGGUCGCAAACGGGAUUAGAUACCCCCGUAGUCC